RNAcentral lists this ribosomal RNA (2913 nucleotides) under Escherichia coli. Its description in RNAcentral is "bacterial LSU rRNA". It matches the Rfam family "Bacterial large subunit ribosomal RNA". The record is from RNAcentral. Lineage: Bacteria; Pseudomonadati; Pseudomonadota; Gammaproteobacteria; Enterobacterales; Enterobacteriaceae.
GGGUUGUGAGGUUAAGCGACUAAGCGUACACGGUGGAUGCCCUGGCAGUCAGAGGCGAUGAAGGACGUGCUAAUCUGCGAUAAGCGUCGGUGAGGUGAUAUGAACCGUUAUAACCGGCGAUUUCCGAAUGGGGAAACCCAGUGUGUUUCGACACACUAUCAUUAACUGAAUCCAUAGGUUAAUGAGGCGAACCGGGGGAACUGAAACAUCUAAGUACCCCGAGGAAAAGAAAUCAACCGAGAUUCCCCCAGUAGCGGCGAGCGAACGGGGAGGAGCCCAGAGCCUGAAUCAGUGUGUGUGUUAGUGGAAGCGUCUGGAAAGGCGUGCGAUACAGGGUGACAGCCCCGUACACAAAAAUGCACAUAUUGUGAGCUCGAUGAGUAGGGCGGGACACGUGGUAUCCUGUCUGAAUAUGGGGGGACCAUCCUCCAAGGCUAAAUACUCCUGACUGACCGAUAGUGAACCAGUACCGUGAGGGAAAGGCGAAAAGAACCCCGGCGAGGGGAGUGAAAAAGAACCUGAAACCGUGUACGUACAAGCAGUGGGAGCCUCUUAAUGGGGUGACUGCGUACCUUUUGUAUAAUGGGUCAGCGACUUAUAUUCUGUAGCAAGGUUAACCGAAUAGGGGAGCCGAAGGGAAACCGAGUCUUAACUGGGCGUUAAGUUGCAGGGUAUAGACCCGAAACCCGGUGAUCUAGCCAUGGGCAGGUUGAAGGUUGGGUAACACUAACUGGAGGACCGAACCGACUAAUGUUGAAAAAUUAGCGGAUGACUUGUGGCUGGGGGUGAAAGGCCAAUCAAACCGGGAGAUAGCUGGUUCUCCCCGAAAGCUAUUUAGGUAGCGCCUCGUGAAUUCAUCUCCGGGGGUAGAGCACUGUUUCGGCAAGGGGGUCAUCCCGACUUACCAACCCGAUGCAAACUGCGAAUACCGGAGAAUGUUAUCACGGGAGACACACGGCGGGUGCUAACGUCCGUCGUGAAGAGGGAAACAACCCAGACCGCCAGCUAAGGUCCCAAAGUCAUGGUUAAGUGGGAAACGAUGUGGGAAGGCCCAGACAGCCAGGAUGUUGGCUUAGAAGCAGCCAUCAUUUAAAGAAAGCGUAAUAGCUCACUGGUCGAGUCGGCCUGCGCGGAAGAUGUAACGGGGCUAAACCAUGCACCGAAGCUGCGGCAGCGACACUAUGUGUUGUUGGGUAGGGGAGCGUUCUGUAAGCCUGUGAAGGUGGCCUGUGAGGGUUGCUGGAGGUAUCAGAAGUGCGAAUGCUGACAUAAGUAACGAUAAAGCGGGUGAAAAGCCCGCUCGCCGGAAGACCAAGGGUUCCUGUCCAACGUUAAUCGGGGCAGGGUGAGUCGACCCCUAAGGCGAGGCCGAAAGGCGUAGUCGAUGGGAAACAGGUUAAUAUUCCUGUACUUGGUGUUACUGCGAAGGGGGGACGGAGAAGGCUAUGUUGGCCGGGCGACGGUUGUCCCGGUUUAAGCGUGUAGGCUGGUUUUCCAGGCAAAUCCGGAAAACCAAGGCUGAGGCGUGAUGACGAGGCACUACGGUGCUGAAGCGACAAAUGCCCUGCUUCCAGGAAAAGCCUCUAAGCAUCAGGUAACAUCAAAUCGUACCCCAAACCGACACAGGUGGUCAGGUAGAGAAUACCAAGGCGCUUGAGAGAACUCGGGUGAAGGAACUAGGCAAAAUGGUGCCGUAACUUCGGGAGAAGGCACGCUGAUAUGUAGGUGAAGCGACUUGCUCGUGGAGCUGAAAUCAGUCGAAGAUACCAGCUGGCUGCAACUGUUUAUUAAAAACACAGCACUGUGCAAACACGAAAGUGGACGUAUACGGUGUGACGCCUGCCCGGUGCCGGAAGGUUAAUUGAUGGGGUUAGCGGCAACGCGAAGCUCUUGAUCGAAGCCCCGGUAAACGGCGGCCGUAACUAUAACGGUCCUAAGGUAGCGAAAUUCCUUGUCGGGUAAGUUCCGACCUGCACGAAUGGCGUAAUGAUGGCCAGGCUGUCUCCACCCGAGACUCAGUGAAAUUGAACUCGCUGUGAAGAUGCAGUGUACCCGCGGCAAGACGGAAAGACCCCGUGAACCUUUACUAUAGCUUGACACUGAACAUUGAGCCUUGAUGUGUAGGAUAGGUGGGAGGCUUUGAAGUGUGGACGCCAGUCUGCAUGGAGCCGACCUUGAAAUACCACCCUUUAAUGUUUGAUGUUCUAACGUUGGCCCGUAAUCCGGGUUGCGGACAGUGUCUGGUGGGUAGUUUGACUGGGGCGGUCUCCUCCUAAAGAGUAACGGAGGAGCACGAAGGUUGGCUAAUCCUGGUCGGACAUCAGGAGGUUAGUGCAAUGGCAUAAGCCAGCUUGACUGCGAGCGUGACGGCGCGAGCAGGUGCGAAAGCAGGUCAUAGUGAUCCGGUGGUUCUGAAUGGAAGGGCCAUCGCUCAACGGAUAAAAGGUACUCCGGGGAUAACAGGCUGAUACCGCCCAAGAGUUCAUAUCGACGGCGGUGUUUGGCACCUCGAUGUCGGCUCAUCACAUCCUGGGGCUGAAGUAGGUCCCAAGGGUAUGGCUGUUCGCCAUUUAAAGUGGUACGCGAGCUGGGUUUAGAACGUCGUGAGACAGUUCGGUCCCUAUCUGCCGUGGGCGCUGGAGAACUGAGGGGGGCUGCUCCUAGUACGAGAGGACCGGAGUGGACGCAUCACUGGUGUUCGGGUUGUCAUGCCAAUGGCACUGCCCGGUAGCUAAAUGCGGAAGAGAUAAGUGCUGAAAGCAUCUAAGCACGAAACUUGCCCCGAGAUGAGUUCUCCCUGACUCCUUGAGAGUCCUGAAGGAACGUUGAAGACGACGACGUUGAUAGGCCGGGUGUGUAAGCGCAGCGAUGCGUUGAGCUAACCGGUACUAAUGAACCGUGAGGCUUAACCUU